Molecule: transfer RNA, 72 nt
Filed under: Bos taurus (domestic cattle)
Lineage: Eukaryota; Metazoa; Chordata; Mammalia; Artiodactyla; Bovidae
Also listed under: 5 other names
Rfam family: tRNA
About the family: Transfer RNA (tRNA) molecules are approximately 80 nucleotides in length. Their secondary structure includes four short double-helical elements and three loops (D, anti-codon, and T loops).
Source: Rfam by way of RNAcentral
UCCCUAGUGGCUCAGAAGGUAAAGAACAUGCCUACAAUGCAGAAGACCCAGGUUCAAUCCCUGGGUAGGGAA